AGUGGGGAAUUUUGGACAAUGGGGGCAACCCUGAUCCAGCCAUUCCGCGUGAGUGAAGAAGGCCUUCGGGUUGUAAAGCUCUUUCGGCAGGAACGAAACGGUGAGCUCUAACAUAGCUUGCUAAUGACGGUACCUGAAGAAGAAGCACCGGCUAACUACGUGCCAGCAGCCGCGGUAAUACGUAGGGUGCGAGCGUUAAUCGGAAUUACUGGGCGUAAAGCGUGCGCAGGCGGUUGUGUAAGACAGAUGUGAAAUCCCCGGGCUUAACCUGGGAACUGCGUUUGUGACUGCAUAACUCGAGUGUGGCAGAGGGGGGUGGAAUUCCACGUGUAGCAGUGAAAUGCGUAGAGAUGUGGAGGAACACCGAUGGCGAAGGCAGCCCCCUGGGUCAACACUGACGCUCAUGCACGAAAGCGUGGGGAGCAAACAGGAUUAGAUACCCUGGUAGUCCACGCCCUAAACGAUGCGAACUAGGUGUUGGGGAAGGAGACUUUCUUAGUACCGCAGCUAACGCGUGAAGUUCGCCGCCUGGG
RNAcentral lists this ribosomal RNA (533 nucleotides) under uncultured bacterium. RNAcentral's name for it is "bacterial SSU rRNA". It matches the Rfam family "Bacterial small subunit ribosomal RNA", at positions 353 to 877 of the family's 1533-position model. The record is from RNAcentral.